This 497-nucleotide ribosomal RNA is filed under the name uncultured bacterium. RNAcentral describes it as "partial 16S ribosomal RNA". It matches the Rfam family "Bacterial small subunit ribosomal RNA", at positions 28 to 507 of the family's 1533-position model. The record is from RNAcentral.
GACGAACGCUGGCGGCGUGCCUAAUACAUGCAAGUCGAGCGCUGACGGUUGGUACUUGUACCAAUUGGAUGAGCAGCGGACGGGUGAGUAACGCGUGGGGAAUCUGCCUUUGAGCGGGGGACAACAUCUGGAAACGAAUGCUAAUACCGCAUAAAAACUUUAAACACAAGUUUCAAGUGUGAAAGAUGCAAUUGCAUCACUCAAAGAUGAUCCCGCGUUUUAUUAGGUAGUUGGUGAGGUAAAGGCCCACCAAGGCGAAGAUACAUAGCCGACCUGAAAGGGUGGUCGGCCACAAUGGGAAUGGAGCAACGCCCAAGAUCCUACGGGGGGGAACAAGAGGGGAACUUCGGCCAAGGGGGGAAAGCUGGCCGAAGAACGCCGGGUGGGUGGAGGAAGUUUUCCGGUCGUAAAACUCUGUUGGUAGGGAAAGACGUUAGGUAGAGUUAAAAGCUCAUCAAGUGACGGUAACUACCCAGAAAGGGACGGCUAACUACGUG